RNAcentral lists this transfer RNA (71 nucleotides) under Toxocara canis (dog roundworm). It matches the Rfam family "tRNA". Rfam says of the family: Transfer RNA (tRNA) molecules are approximately 80 nucleotides in length. Lineage: Eukaryota; Metazoa; Nematoda; Chromadorea; Rhabditida; Toxocaridae. The record is from Rfam by way of RNAcentral.
GAGUCGGUGGUUCAGUGGUAGAAUGCUCGCCUGCAACGCGGGCGGCCCGGGUUCGACUCCCGGCCGACGCA